This 350-nucleotide ribosomal RNA is filed under the name uncultured bacterium. Its description in RNAcentral is "bacterial SSU rRNA". It matches the Rfam family "Bacterial small subunit ribosomal RNA", at positions 8 to 349 of the family's 1533-position model. The record is from RNAcentral.
AGAGUUUGAUCCUGGCUCAGGAUGAACGCUAGCUACAGGCUUAACACAUGCAAGUCGAGGGGCAGCAUGUUGGUUGCUUGCAACCAACGAUGGCGACCGGCGCACGGGUGAGUAACGCGUAUCCAACCUACCCUUGUCCAUCGGAUAACCCGUCGAAAGGCGGCCUAACACGAUAUGCGGUUCACAGCAGGCAUCUAACGUGAACGAAAUGUAAAGGAGAAGGAUGGGGAUGCGUCUGAUUAGCUUGUUGGCGGGGUAACGGCCACCAAGGCUACGAUCAGUAGGGGUUCUGGAGAGGAACGGUCCCCCACAUUGGAACUGGAGACACGGUCCAAACUCCUACGGGAGCA